UUUCCUUUCUGUUAAUCUGCUAUUGCAAUAUGGCUUUCAAAAGGAAGAUAUCAUUACUUAUCCCAACCCUGUUCGCCAUUUUCCUUUUCCUCUCCUCAGAUGUGGCAGCAAGGGAAUUGAAAGAGAGUGAGCUAUCUAUCCUUUUACGUACCUUCUUUUUUCAUUUGCAACUUUAAAGUAAGAGAUAAAGUAUAAAAUGUUAUCAAUAUGAUUUCUUUUAUCGUUCAAAUUUUAUAAACAACUACACAAAUUUUGCAAAGCAAACUACUACCUAUAUAUGCAUAUAAAAAAGUGUUCAAAUCAUAAAUUAAAUUAAGAGAGUUAAACUCCAAAUCAAUUUACCAGGUUUUUGUAAAGAUAAUUUUUUUAAUAGAUUUUUAACACACACACACAAAAACACACACACACACAUAUAUAUAUAUAUAUACAUAAAACAAAAUGACCAUUUGAAAGAGAUAAUUGGGUAGAAAAACACAUAUGUGUGCCUUUCUUAAUGUAUUUUUAUGUAAUAUCAUUAAAACAUUUUUCAAUAUACAAUAUGUUUACCAUAAAGGGUUUCUUAAUCUUUUUCAUUCGGUCAUAAGGAACUCUCCUUCUAACCUUUUUAUGUUUUAUAAAUAAUCAUGGUGGUGGCUUCCCAGUUUCUGGUCGCGAUCGUCGUGCGUUCUCUGGCGAUGGUGGCUUCUUGGGUGGUUCCUACGGUGGUGGUGGAUACUUUGGCCCCUACCGUGGUGGACCUGGACCUUUCGGUGGACCUUUCGGUGGACCUGGACCUUUCGGUGGACCUUUCGGUGGACCUGGACCUUUCGGUGGACCCUAUGGUGGUGGGUACGGUUUCCCCUACUAUGGAAGAUUUGGUUCCGGUGGAUUCGGUUCUGGUGAAUUUGGACCUGGUGGUGGAUUCAAUAACUUUCCUGGUGGUCGUGGUGGUAGUGGUGUUGGAUUCGGCAACUUUCCUGGUGUAGCCGGUGGGUUACCUAACAAUC
RNAcentral lists this long non-coding RNA (986 nucleotides) under Phaseolus vulgaris (common bean). RNAcentral's name for it is "long non-coding RNA (PVUL_LNC001853)". Lineage: Eukaryota; Viridiplantae; Streptophyta; Magnoliopsida; Fabales; Fabaceae. The record is from RNAcentral.